GAUGAAGAACGUAGCGAAAUGCGAUAAGUAAUGUGAAUUGCAGAAUUCAGUGAAUCAUCGAAUCUUUGAACGCACAUUGCGCCCACCAGUAUUCUGGCGGGCAUGCCUGUCCGAGCGUCAUUUCAACCCUCGCGCCCAUCUGGGCUGCGGUGUUGGGGACCGGCCUGCCCCCCGGGGCGCGCCGCCCCCCAAAUUCAGUGGCGGUCUCGCUGCAGCCUCCCUUGCGUAGUAGCACACCUCGCACCGGAGCGCAGCGCGGCCACGCCGUAAAACCCCCGACCCCCAUGAGUUUGACCUCGGAUCAGGUAGGAAUACCCGCUGAACUUAAGCAUAUCAAUAAGCGGAGGA
RNAcentral lists this unclassified non-coding RNA (348 nucleotides) under soil metagenome. RNAcentral describes it as "partial contains 5.8S ribosomal RNA, internal transcribed spacer 2, and large subunit ribosomal RNA". The stretch from base 1 to 120 matches the Rfam family "5.8S ribosomal RNA", at positions 35 to 154 of the family's 154-position model. The record is from RNAcentral.